Molecule: transfer RNA, 97 nt
Filed under: Treponema socranskii subsp. socranskii VPI DR56BR1116 = ATCC 35536
Lineage: Bacteria; Pseudomonadati; Spirochaetota; Spirochaetia; Treponematales; Treponemataceae
Description: tRNA-Glu
Source: RNAcentral
GGCACGGGCUACCCGAGGGGCAUCACGGGCGAUAAAAUUUCGCUUUAUGCGAAGAUAAUCGCAGUCGUGUGUUCGUUCGAAUCGAUUAUUGCGCCUC